UACAGAGGGUGCUAGCGUUGUUCGGAAUCAUUGGGCGUAAAGGGCGUGUAGGCGGUUUGCUAAGUCAUGUGUGAAAUCCCUCGGCUUAACCGGGGAACGACGCAUGAAACUGGCAAGCUAGAGUACCAAAGAGGGGGGUGGAAUUCCCGGCGUAGCGGUGAAAUGCGUAGAUAUCGGGAGGAACACCUGUGGCGAAGGCGGCCCCCUGGUUGGAUACUGACGCUGAUACGCGAAAGCGUGGGGAGCAAACAGG
Molecule: ribosomal RNA, 253 nt
Filed under: uncultured bacterium
Lineage: Bacteria
Description: partial 16S ribosomal RNA
Rfam family: Bacterial small subunit ribosomal RNA
Source: RNAcentral